CCUACGGGAGGCAGCAGUGGGGAAUAUUGGGCAAUGGAGGCAACUCUGACCCAGCAACGCCGCGUGAAUGAUGAAGGUCUUCGGAUUGUAAAGUUCUGUGAUGGGGGAUGAACACAAUGACGGUACCCAAAUAGCAAGCCACGGCUAACUACGUGCCAGCAGCCGCGGGAAUACGUAGGUGGCAAUCGUUAUCCGAAAUGACUGGGCGUAAAGGGUGCGUAGGUGGGUUAGUAAGUUGGCGGUGUAAUUCCGGGGCUCACCCUAGGAGCUACCGCAAAAACUAUUAGACUAGAGUGCAGGAGGGGUAAGUGGAAGUCCUAGUGUAGCGGUGGAAUGCGUAGAUAUUAGGAGGAACAGCAGGGGCGAAGGCGACUUACUGGACUGUAACUGACACUGAGGCACGAAAGCGUGGGGAGCAAACAGGAUUAGAUAUCCGAGUAGUC
RNAcentral lists this ribosomal RNA (443 nucleotides) under uncultured bacterium. RNAcentral's name for it is "partial 16S ribosomal RNA". It matches the Rfam family "Bacterial small subunit ribosomal RNA", at positions 338 to 795 of the family's 1533-position model. The record is from RNAcentral.